ACAAAAUCUAGUAGGAAGACUAUUGCUUACUGGUGUGGUCUUUGAAGAUGGGGAAUUUUAGGAUGUUUCUAUCCACUGUAUAUGUGAAGACUUCAGGAAUCUUACCAUUCACAAAUAAUAAUAAUUCUACUUCAUAAUUUGUGAUGCAAGAUCAUAUCAAUUUGAUAAAAUGUAUAAAUCUAACAACAAAACAUUUUCUUGUAAAAUAUUGUAAGGAAGAAAAAACUGGCAAACUUUAAAAUGAAUCUGCUUAUCUGUGAAGGUAUGUGCCUGUUCCUCACAACUUGCAAAUGCUGAUAUCGUUGCAGUAGAAACGUUCUUAAGAAAAGUGUCAACUGUAUUACAAAGAGAUUAACAUCCAAAUAAGUCUGUAUUAUAACCUGAACAUUUCAGUAGAGUGCUACUAUAUUAUUGCAAGCAUAUUGACGUCUUUUCUGGCAGGAUUAACUGCAUCCUAAGAAUAACAAACAAGAACACGUGUGCUGUUCUGCCAGUGUCAGAACAUUCUGUGCGACUCUUGCACAAACUAAAAUAUAAUUUUGUUUUUUAGGUCAUCUCAGCAGAACGGAACUGAAGAUGUGACACACAAGACACCAGGAGAAUCAGCUGGAGAGGGGAGGUGCUGAUCAAUGAAGGACACGUAGAGAGACUCGCUUCUAGAUCUGUCAGUCUUGGGGAAGCUCUUCUUCAGGAAUGCGGAGGAGUGCAUAAGCAAAAGAGGAUGCCUACAGACAUGAAAGAGCCAAUGGAUUCUUCCAGCUUUGCUGCUGGCACACUAGAUCCACAAGGGCAGGGCUUGAAUUGGAGCAGAACUUUGAGCCGCACAAAUUCCCUCAAGCUCUGCAACAGCCUCCAGGAAAUCCACAAGGCACUUUGUGCCUCUCCAAAGACUCUGGCUUGUAAACCCUGGUUUCCUUUGCAUCUACUGCUUUAG
RNAcentral lists this long non-coding RNA (934 nucleotides) under Lepisosteus oculatus (spotted gar). Its description in RNAcentral is "lncRNA (ENSLOCG00000021287.1)". The record is from RNAcentral. Lineage: Eukaryota; Metazoa; Chordata; Actinopteri; Semionotiformes; Lepisosteidae.